AAUAAGUGUAGUUUUACACUGUUCAUAUCUCACUUUUGACCGUUCAUCUUAUUUGCAAUUUUUUACGAUUAAUAUUUUUAUUAUUAUUGGAUGAUAAAACAUGAAUAAUACUUUAUAUUUGACUAAUUUAUUCUAAUUUUCCCAUAAAUUUUUAAAUAAGAUAGACGGUGAAACGUUGGACACGGAUUUCUAUGGCUGUACGUAUU
Oryza glaberrima (African rice) is the source of this 206-nucleotide non-coding RNA. The record is from Rfam. Lineage: Eukaryota; Viridiplantae; Streptophyta; Magnoliopsida; Poales; Poaceae.